CCUGAGUACGACGGAGCACGUGAAAUUCCGUCGGAAUCUGGGAGGACCAUCUCCUAAGGCUAAAUACUCUCUAGUGACCGAUAGUGAACCAGUACCGUGAGGGAAAGGUGAAAAGUACCCCGGAAGGGGAGUGAAAGAGAACUUGAAACCGUGUGCUUACAAGUAGUCAGAGCCCGUUAAUGGGUGAUGGCGUGCCUUUUGUAGAAUGAACCGGCGAGUUACGAUCUGAUGCAAGGUUAAGCAGAAAAUGUGGAGCCGUAGCGAAAGCGAGUCUGAAUAGGGCGAAUGAGUAUUUGGUCGUAGACCCGAAACCAGGUGAUCUACCCUUGGUCAGGUUGAAGUUCAGGUAACACUGAAUGGAGGACCGAACCGACUUACGUUGAAAAGUGAGCGGAUGAACUGAGGGUAGCGGAGAAAUUCCAAUCGAACUUGGAGAUAGCUGGUUCUCUCCGAAAUAGCUUUAGGGCUAGCCUCAAGUGAUGAUUAUUGGAGGUAGAGCACUGUUUGGACGAGGGGCCCCUCUCGGGUUACCGAAUUCAGACAAACUCCGAAUGCCAAAUAAUUUAACUUGGGAGUCAGAAUGUGGGUGAUAAGGUCCAUAUUCGAAAGGGAAACAGCCCAGACCACCAGCUAAGGUCCCAAAAUAUAUGUUAAGUGGAAAAGGAUGUGGCGUUGCCCAGACAACUAGGAUGUUGGCUUAGAAGCAGCCAUCAUUUAAAGAGUGCGUAAUAGCUCACUAGUCGAGUGACACUGCGCCGAAAAUGUACCGGGGCUAAACAUAUUACCGAAGCUGUGGAUUGUCCUUUGGACAAUGGUAGGAGAGCGUUCUAAGGGCGUUGAAGCAUGAUCGCAAGGACAUGUGGAGCGCUUAGAAGUGAGAAUGCCGGUGUGAGUAGCGAAAGACGGGUGAGAAUCCCGUCCACCGAUUGACUAAGGUUUCCAGAGGAAGGCUCGUCCGCUCUGGGUUAGUCGGGUCCUAAGCUGAGGCCGACAGGCGUAGGCGAUGGAUAACAGGUUGA
Molecule: ribosomal RNA, 1019 nt
Filed under: Staphylococcus pseudintermedius
Lineage: Bacteria; Bacillati; Bacillota; Bacilli; Caryophanales; Staphylococcaceae
Description: partial 23S ribosomal RNA
Rfam family: Bacterial large subunit ribosomal RNA
Source: RNAcentral